GCCUUCGUGGUAUAGUGGUCAGCACGCUCGGCGCGUAUUCAAGAGGUGCGGGGUUCGAGUCCCGGCGAGGGCA
Molecule: transfer RNA, 73 nt
Filed under: Stegodyphus mimosarum
Lineage: Eukaryota; Metazoa; Arthropoda; Arachnida; Araneae; Eresidae
Rfam family: tRNA
About the family: Transfer RNA (tRNA) molecules are approximately 80 nucleotides in length.
Source: Rfam by way of RNAcentral